AUCUAUACCUAUCUUCUUAGCUUCACAGUUCAAUUCCUUAAUAAAAAAAUAUAGAAAAACAUACAGAAGUAUAAGGAUGUUACCAUAUCUUUGUGCUUCAUACAAAUACCAUUUCGAUUAAACUUUCUGUUUCUUUGCUACCUAAUUAUGAACUAUCCUUAUGCAUCAAUUCCUUAGGCAUAUGACAGCAUAUUUUCUUACCUCAAAUUUCAACUGCAACCACUGAUAUCGGCCUAAA
Molecule: unclassified non-coding RNA, 238 nt
Filed under: Hevea brasiliensis (rubber tree)
Lineage: Eukaryota; Viridiplantae; Streptophyta; Magnoliopsida; Malpighiales; Euphorbiaceae
Source: RNAcentral